This is a transfer RNA of Coniochaeta ligniaria NRRL 30616, 96 nucleotides long. It matches the Rfam family "tRNA". From Rfam's summary of the family: Transfer RNA (tRNA) molecules are approximately 80 nucleotides in length. The record is from Rfam. Lineage: Eukaryota; Fungi; Ascomycota; Sordariomycetes; Coniochaetales; Coniochaetaceae.
GGGGGUGUAGUCUAGCGGUUAUGAUUUCCCUUUGGCAGGUUCUUGUAUCCUGAUUUACCUUAGGGAAGGUCCCGGGUUCGAUUCCCGGCUCCUCCA